Molecule: long non-coding RNA, 5560 nt
Organism: Acinonyx jubatus (cheetah)
Lineage: Eukaryota; Metazoa; Chordata; Mammalia; Carnivora; Felidae
Exons: 3
Source: RefSeq, a predicted model, not a curated record
CCAACAGGGGCCUUUCCUGAGACUUCUCAAGCUGGAGCUGGAGGAAAAGGCUGUGUAGCUGGGGCUUUCCAGCCAGGCUGGGACCACCACACAGUGAGGGAGACGCCUGGCACAGAACGCCAGGAGAGAUCAAAUCCGUGGCCACGUCAAUGCUUUCCAAUAUGUCCCCUCUAACACUUAAACCAGAGGCAGCUGAGUUUCUGUCACUUGCCACCAGAGAGUUUGAAUUAUGAGACCUUGCUGUGCCCAUCCCCCCAACAUCUGCCUCUGCUUUGUGACUCAACUGUCCUCUCUCUUGCCUGCCCAAGGCACCAGGCUUUCUCCCAUGCUGUAGGGCCAAUGUCCCCUCCUCCAACACCCAUCUCUACCAGGCUCUCCGGAGCUGCUGGGUAGAGCCUCCCAAAAUCUCAGUGCCCAGCCCCCAUCACCCGGGGGCUGGGUGGCCAAGCUGAGUUAAGCUAGAAAGAACAGGAGAGUUCAGGAAGGAACAUGUGUCUCAGCUAACAGGGCAGGGUAGACUGUGCUGGAAUGGUGGAAUAAGCUGAAUGCUGUCUGAACAGGGGCAUGGUGUGACUCCUUCCGAGAGAUCAGAAAUGCCACAGAAAGGACAAUGAGGUAGAAGGUACUAAGAACCAGGAGGCAAGGCUCCAGGCUUCAUUCUGUCAUGACCAAUAAACUCAAGACCUCUGCCAGUCCUCCCAGAUCCCACAUUCCAAAACAUCAUGGUCUCUUCUCCUGUCUGCCCGGAUCCAAUGGACGCCGGUCUUCCUUCCUCUGGCAAGCUCCUGCCAGCUCAGGAUCCUGCCAGGAUGCCCAAUGCCCACAGCCUCAUCUCCAGAUCUAGUCUUGCUAUGAGCCCAGCUGCAGCGGCCCUGAGCCGUCACUAAACUGAGCAGACCCCACCCUGCCUUCUCUGCAUCAGGAUUAGAGGUUAGGGAAGGGACAUGAGAGCAGAUUUCCUGCUGUCGCUUCCAUCGGACCAGACUGAGACGAGAUGAGAUGGAAGGCGUGUGGUGGCAGCCAUGGGCGCAGUGGGGGAAGCAGGACUGGCCACCAAACAGAUUAUUGUGGACGCAUGCGGGUCUGGGCAAGCUAUUUGCCAACACGGCUUGCAUCUCAGGCUGAUGCUGGCAGAAGCCCAGGGUCUCGGCCUGCAAGACGCUGGGGAAGAACAUCUACCAACCCUGUUCUCCUUAAAAGGAGAGCUCCUCCUCAAACAGGCACACAGGACACAGCCGUGGGGGUGGAGAACCAGCCAGCAGCUACCAACAAGCAGGACAUAGCUUCCAGCCCAGGAGGAGUUUAGUGUUUCAAACCACACAUCACAAAUCAUUUCCUCUGCACAUUCCUUGGAAGUUUGGGGGCAUUAACUUUCCAUCUUAUCUUUCCUAGGGUGGAUGCCAGGAGCUGGCCCUAGUGAUGUUUGCAUUUGAACAACAGUGAGAUUGGGUGUCAGCUGCCCCAGGGGCGCCGAGGAAGAUGAAGAAAUGGAGCAGGCUGUCUCCAGGCAAAGGAGGAGAGAAGGGCAGAAUCCGGAUGGUAUGGAAUGAACAGCAAGGGAGGGAAGCGGAAAGGGGAACUGGGAUUUGCUACUGCUCUAUCAAAUUACAGCGUGCAAAGCUAGCUCCAGGUGGUGGGCUCCUGAGGGUCACCGCCAGGGUACAAACCUCAGUUGUGCCCUCUACUUACUGUGUGACCAUGUGUGAAUGGGCAAACUCUCUGAACUUGAGUUUGCCUCUCAGCAAAACAGUACCUACUUCCUGGGACUGUCAGGGGCACUGAAUGAGAUGACAAGCGACCCUUAGCCCAGCACCUGGUACACAGCAAACACUCCAUCCAAUUUGGACACGAUUAUCAUUCUGCCAGAACUUCUGUGAAAUUUGGUUACAGGUCUGCACUCCUGAGAGAUGAAAGGGCACAGGCCUUAGAAAUAAGAAGACCCAGGUUGAAAACUGGCUCUGCCACCUAUGAUGACCACCUUCUUGAGUUUUCUGGGCCUCAGGCUCCCCCUGGAAAAUGGAGAUAAAGUAAACAACCGCAGAGGACUGCGGUGAGAAAUGAAGCACACGGUGUUUGUAAAGUGCUUGGAGCAGCACUGGCCUGUCCCCCACUAGGUGAGGCCACAGCAAGGAGAUAGUCAUCUGCAACACAGGAAGAGGAGCUCCACCAUAACCUGCUCGUGCUGGCCCCUUGAUCUCAGGUGUCCAGCCCCCAGAACUACGAGAAAUAAAUGACUGAUGAGCAAGCUUCCCCCUCCCCGCCCCGCCAUCUGUGGCAUUUUAUUAUGGGAGCCUGGACUCAUACAGGCGUUAUAUGAUUAGAAAUGACAGAAACCGAAGCCGGCUGAUUCAAGGGCGAGGUCCAGGCUGGAGAUACAAACCCAGGAGGCCUCAGCACGCGGACAAGUUAGUACAACAAAAGAGGGGUAAUAUACUUCCUACCUCACAGGUGGCUGUGAGGACUGAAAUAGAUACUUCACAUGGUCUGCUUAGCACUGUGGUAGGGCACGUAUGAAAGCUUGGUAAAUGGGACUGUUACCUGCAGAAGAUCACACAAAGAUAUGCUCUUGGAAUCACAGAAUUUUGGAUAGAUUCUCUAGCUCAAAAACCUUAAUUUGUAGCUAGGGAAACUAAGCUAAGCCAAGAUUAUUGACUUGCCUGGCAUUUUUCUACCAUUAACGAUUGGUUUUUUUUAAGAUUUAUAGACCCAGCCAUAAAGGAGGAAGGUGAAGUUUAACCGUACCUUGAUAUUCAAUUAGACAGAAGGGUACCAAUAAACCUUGGAAAUGCCAACGCCAAAGAGCACUCUUUAGUCCUGAUUUUGUGACUCCUUCUUCAUCCAAUGCUGCUGGCCAGUCUCCUAAUUUGGUUUCCAUGAAAUGAUGCUCUCUCAAUUUCCUGAAGAGAAAGAGAGGGAAAGAGGAAACAUUAAAAGCCAAAAGGGAAAGUGACUGGGGUUGCAUCCCCUGGAAGCAGAGCCCAUGACAGGAUUGUAGGGUCCUGAGUCAGUGAAGGAAGCAGCAUGGGGCAGGGCGGGUACCAAGAAGGAUGUGACCUCAAGUGGAGACGAGCCUCAUCUCCCGGGCAGCUCCAGAGCAGGAACUGCACCAGAAGUGGGUCCCACCUGGCGGAAGGAGAGCAGCUGCGCGUGCUCGCAUUGGUCAGUCAAUGGAAUGGGCAGUCAGGGCAGCGAGGGCGCAUUCCAGGGCGGGUUGUUCAUAGGCAGCCCCUGUCUCACUGAGGGCAAUUCUGCAAGAAGGGGGCGGCUGUGAAUUAGCCCCCAACACUCACAGCAGCUAGAAGGUGGGUGCACCUGCUCCCCAGAAAGGGGAUCUGGGUAGAGACCCCAUUAUGCCCACCACGGAGACAGGGAGGGCGGAAGCAAGGACCGCUGUAUUCACCAAUCAUCAGAGAAGUGCCCUAGAGGCUUCAUUCUCAUGACUGCCAUCUUCCUAAAAACCCAACAAGGUCAGUGGGUAGGCGUUACUAAUUCCAGCUUAUUGAUGAGGAAAAAGGGAGCGUUUGUCCAAAAUUUCGAAGGAACAAUGAAGUGACCCCCCACCCCCAGAAAACAACCAACCAAUGUGAGAAAGUGUCAAAUUAUUCACUUUUAAAGACCAGCCCACAGGUCCCAGAAGGACCUCAAAACCUCAAUUCUAGGAUUAGGGAGAAGGCUUCAGACAUCGAUUUCCUAUACUGCUUAAAUUUUCCAGGCCCCAAGUUCCAAGUCUAUCAAAUGGGCAUGGCAUUAAUGGACUGUGGUAGGCUGAGUAAUCGUCUCCAAAGAUUCCUACAGCCUACUUUUGGGAACCUGUGAAUGUUACCUUACAUGGCACAGGGGAUUUUACAGAUGUGAUUAAAGUAAGGGUCUUAAGGUGGAAAUUAUCCUGGAUUAUCUGGUGAAUUCUAAAUGUAGUCACAAAUGUCCUUAGAGAGAGAAGCAGAGAGAGACUGGCAACAGAAAAGAAGAAGGCCAUGUGACAACAGAAGCAGAUUCAGAGAAAGAAGAUGCCAAGCCUCUGGCUUUGAAGAUGAAGAAGGGGCCCACGAGCCAAGGAAUACUCUAGAAGCAACAAACGUAAGGAAACUGGACUCUCCUGGAGCCUCCAGAAGGAACUAGCCAAUACUUUUAUUUUAGCCCCGUAAGACUCUCUUUGAACUUCUGACUUCCAGAAUUGAGAAUAAAUCUGAAUUAUUCCAAGCCACUGAGUCUGUGAUCAUCUGUAACAGCAGCAAGAAGAAAACAAAUACACUGGAUGUCAGUUCACUCUUAGGAAAAUCAUGCACCUGGCUCACAGACUAGUGCUCUCAAGGCCUGGGGCAGGGCCAGGGGGAGACAGGGAAAGGGGUUGUAGAUCCAGUUCCCCUGAUCCACAGCUGCUGGACUCCCCUGCCUCGCUUGGGGGCUCCCUGGGUGUUCCCACUGCACAGCCUCCCCUCAGCCAGAAGCCGGGCAGGAGAAGGACUUUAGGGCACGUCUGCUGAGUGACUGAGUUCUGGGUGUUUGCAGCUCAGGCAGCCUGGGCACGAAUAAGGCCAGGUUCGAGCUGGACCAGCAGCAGGAGUUGUGCACCUACAGAAAGGCGUGCAGGCCUGCAGAAUGAAUGAGCGCAGCCCCGAUGAACAAGGCCAGCAACACUCAGGCUCCCUCAGGGCCCUCAGAGACCCAGCUGAGAGCAGGACACGGAGCCGGAGCCGAAGGAGGGGAACUGUCCACCCACCUCUGCCACCGAUGUGCCCUGUGACUUCAGACAAGUCUCCCCCGACCCUGCUCGCUGGGCCCCCAUCUCCCAGUCUGUGGGCAGCGUGUGAGCUGGGUGACGCCCAAGGAGCCAGCCCGCUCUGAUGCUGGGUAGCCCCAGACUCCAGCCAGGCUGACCCCAGUGGACACUCAGCACUUGGAGGUUCACAGAGUCAAAGGCUCGGGGAGAGCGCAUCCCAGGACCUGCAAAAGCCAGGUGAAAGAGGCAAUGCCAGGAAUGCACCGUCAAAAUGUUCUGUCUAAAAACGGGCCGACGCAGCCUGCAAAAUGCCUAUUGUACAUGGAUCCUAAACCAACAGAGACUGAACGGAGCAUGCCAGAUAAAUGUACAGAAAAUGGGAGCGGCCCACUGUGGGCAGAAAACACAUGAACCGGUUCCUAGGAGAGAAAGGUGGCUGAAAAGGGGCCCAGGGCUCUGGGGUCUUCUCAGUGACAGCACUGACCAAGAAUCUUCCAAGACUCCCUCUCAACUGCCUGGGAAGAGAGAGGCCUCUUAACCAGCACGGAGUGAGCUGGUGUGUUGUUUGCAUUUAUGGUAAUCCCCUGUGGCCGGUUAGGGAGCUGAACUUGGAGAGGAAAAGCACCUGCUCAAGGUCAGAAGGCUACAAAGUGGCUGAAUUAGGAUUCAACACCACGGCUGUUGAACCCCAAACCCCAAAGCUUUUAGCCACUAGGCAAACUACAGAGAUGAAGUAAGACAAUGUUUCCCAUAGUAGACCAUCCCGGGUCAAUAACAGAAAGUUCUGGAGGUUACAGCACAUGCCUAAGCUUUGGAGUGGUCAUGGUAAAAGGAAGUGAU